GAAAAGGGCGUGGCCUCCCCGGCCCCCUUCCCGCCGGACUACAAGUCCCGUCAUGCCCCGCGCCGGCCUGCCUGCCUCCUCGCUCUCUUUCUCUCUCUCUCCCCCUCUCUCUCUCUCUCGCAGGAGCCGGGGCUUCCGGCGGCGAGGACCUUGAGCCUCGGAGGGACUGUGCGCGGCGGCGGUCUCGAGAGACGGAAGGAGCCGAGCCCGUCCGUCUGCCGGGAGGAGUAGCCCAGGUGAGGCGGCUGCUCUCCCGCCUUCUCAGGACUGGCUCAGCUCCUCCACAGAACUCAAGAUGUCACAGGAAAUGGAAGAUACCAUUGGUUUGACUGAGGAGAUGUCUCCCGCCCCCACUUCCUCAAGCCAGGGAAUUCUCUUAUCUUCCUGCUGAGAUCCUGCAGUUUUGCCAGUCCUGGACUUUGUGUCCUUUUGAAUGAUUGUGUAUUUAAAGGCUGUAUCUGUGGGUCAGAAAACAACAACUUCUUGGGUUUUAAGGGGAACAUUUUGAAUGAAAUGAACAAGUCCCGUCCAAGUCUCUGAGCUCGGUGGUUUUCCUGCAGAUGUUUCAUUACAAAACUAGGUUACAUCGGUGCUCUCGUGUCACGGUGCUCUCAUGUCACGUGUCUGUCGCAUGUUUAACAAGUUUUGUGGAAGUGUAAUAUAACUGAACAUAUAUAGGAGGAGUGGCAGAACAUAAGGUAGAGUGAAAAGAGGGCUACUACAUAGUACUGCGGGAUGUGGUGGCUCAGUGGAUAAGACGGUGAGCUUGUCGAUCAAAAGGUUGGCAGUUCAGCGGUUUGAAUCCCAAGUGCCACGUAAUGAGGUGAGCUCCCGUUACUUGUCCCAGCUUCUGCCAACCUAGCAGUUCGAAAGCACGUAAAAAAUGCAAGUAGGAAAAUAGGGACCACCUUUGAUGGGAAGGGAACAGUGUUCUGUGCGCCUUUGGCUUUUAGUCAUGCCGGCCACAUGACCAUGGAGACAUCUUCGGAUAGCGCUGGCUCUUCGGCUUUGAAACGGAGAUGAGCACCGCCCCGUAGAGUCGGGAACGACUAGCACAUAUGUGCGAGGGGAAUCUUUACCUUUACCUUUACAUAGCCAUAAGUGAAUCAAAUCUCCCUCGUCCUUGAGUUCCGUUGACCCAUAUCUAACUCAAAAUGAAAAAGGUCUUCUGCAGUCGCGAUAUAAGCCUAAGACUGAAAACCAGGCUUGUCAGAUGUUACAUCUGUUCUAUCCUGCUCUUCAGAGCAGAGAGUGGGUCUCUGACAGAAAACCACUUGAAGAAACUAGAAGUGUUUGAAAUGUGGAUUUACAGACAGAUGUUAGGUAUAAGCUGGGUUAACGAAAAACCACAAAUGUGGAGGUGAUAAGCCACCUGGGAAAGCCAAGGGAAAGCCAUUAAAAAGCGAAAGUUAGAAUAUUUUGGACAUGUGAUGCAACAACCAGAAAAAUACAGCAUCCUUCGCUUAAUCCUUUAAGGAAAGAUUGAAGGCAAAUGAGGUCCAGGCAGAAGAACAUUCAAAAUCUAAGGGACUGGUUGGACAAAACUCAACAGCACUUUUUCAUGCAGCUCUUGACAAAAAUAGGAUUGCCAGCAUGAUCGCCAACAUCCGAUGACGGAUAUGGCACAACAACAAGAAGAUAUCUAACUCCAAGCAGAUGUGCAUUAGUUGAAAAUAUUCCUGUGCCCAGGUAUGAGUACCUUUAAAUCAGUUUAAUUCGACCUUCACAUGUGGACCUAAUCUUUCAGGUCUGACAAUGUAUGACUUUGCAUUUCUUCUUAGAGGAGAUUUGAAAACAUGUCAUUUAGACUUGAGUUUUGAAGUUCAUGAAUUUCUUCCUUUGUUCAAGGGCGUCUGGGUAGAACAUAAAGAUCACUCUAAUAAAAAAAAAAUAUCUGCGGUGAUAUCUCAUGGUUUCCAACAGUGCUUCAAAAUAGCAGGAAAUAAAUUAUUGGUCCAGCUCAUGGACAAAAUAACAGGUCUAGAAAUGCAUUAAGCGUAACAUCUCUUAUUAACUUAAAGUUUUAUUGAUGUGCUAUUUUGAGGUAAUCUAACAAACGGGGAAUUAAAAAGAAAAUUUACAAAUUUGAUGACACUGGUUGAUUGCAGAAGUAAUCCAAGAAAUAGUGCAGUUCUUCCUAAUAGCUAAGUACUUACAUUUACCCAAAUUUAGUUUUCUUUUUAUGUGGAGUAUUUUUCUAUUUCUGUUAAUAUAGAAGUUGUAAUCUUUUUCGAAAAUUAAACUCUAUAUAAAGCCAUAAUGUAUAUUUAUGGGGCUCUAAAACUUUCUGGAAAAAGAAACUAUUAAUGGUUUGUUCUGGAACAGGACUGCUUCACAAUUGCACACAUUAUAGAUGAGAAAUUUUAAUUUGGUGAUAAGGAGAGUUCUGAAGAUACAGAUAGGUUUAGUUUGAAUCUCUUCCCUACUUGUGUUUAUAGGAUUAGUAAAUUUAGCUUUUUCCUAUAUGCAUCAAUACAGAUAAGGAAAAAUAGGGAUAAUUUAAUACAUACUUUACAAAAAAGAUAGAUUUUCAAAUUCUGACUCUAAAUCUUACCAUGAUCGUGUUAUCUGGCAAUGAUGGGAAUAAUUCAACUAAAGGAAAGUUGAUUUAGAAAUAGAAGAUAAAGAAGUCCCAAAGGUACUUGGACUUUAUUUUUCCUUGAAGAUGUUUCGCUUCUCAUCCAAGAAGCAUCAUCGGUUUUCAGAAAAAGCACCUUUGGGACAACCAUGACUGAGAAUCUCCAUGGACAGAAGAUUAAAAAAAAUAUUCAAUGAAUGCUGCUUGAAUACGCAGAAUACAUCACCUCUUAGAUACCCCUUUCUGGACUGAAAACAAAAAAUAAUGAUGUGAAGAACUGCAUCUCUGCAUCCACCAAUAUCCCCUUGGACUCUG
This is a long non-coding RNA of Ahaetulla prasina, 2893 nucleotides long. RefSeq lists it as uncharacterized. Lineage: Eukaryota; Metazoa; Chordata; Lepidosauria; Squamata; Colubridae. The transcript is spliced from 3 exons. The record is from RefSeq and is a predicted model, not a curated record.